GUAGGUGGCAAGCGUUGUCCGGAAUUAUUGGGGCGUAAAGCGCGCGCAGGCGGUUCUUUAAGUCUGAUGUGAAAGCCCCACGGGCUCAACCGUGGAGGGUCAUUGGAAACUGGAGAACUUGAGUACAGAAGAGGAAAGCGGAAUUCCACGUGUAGCGGUGAAAUGCGUAGAGAUGUGGAGGAACACCAGUGGCGAAGGCGGCUUUCUGGUCUGUAACUGACGCUGAGGCGCGAAAGCGUGGGGAGCAAACAGGAUUAGAUACCCUGGUAGUCCACGCCGUAAACGAUGAGUGCUAAGUGUUAGGGGGUUUCCGCCCCUUAGUGCUGCAGCUAACGCAUCAAGCACUCCGCCUGGGGAGUACGGCCGCAAGGCUG
Molecule: ribosomal RNA, 374 nt
Filed under: uncultured organism
Description: partial 16S ribosomal RNA
Rfam family: Bacterial small subunit ribosomal RNA
Source: RNAcentral